Ictalurus punctatus (channel catfish) is the source of this 722-nucleotide long non-coding RNA. The record is from Ensembl. NCBI's taxonomy places the organism in Eukaryota, Metazoa, Chordata, Actinopteri, Siluriformes, Ictaluridae.
GAGAGAGAGAGUGUGUCUGAGAGAGUGUGUGAGAGAGAGAGUGUGUGUGUCUGAGAGAGUGUGAGAGAGAGAGAGAGUGUGUCUGAGAGAGUGUGAGAGAGAGAGAGAGAGUGAGUGUAGUGUAAAAGAAUCGAAAGCUCUGAAAAGUGAAUGUAACAGUUACAAAAAUAGAGACUUUUGACUUAUUCCACGCCUGCCACCCGUAUCCUCCCUCCAGACCUAGCCCAGGGGAAGUGUCACACUGGUGCCAAAACCUGGGACGGAGGAGGAUCACCGCCCUGGAGAUAAUGUUAAUUCCAUGUUAAUUCCCUUGCCGGCCUCCACGCUCCUGAAGCUCUUCGAGGGUGCUGCGGACGCGGGGGCUGGCCAGUGUCAAGUGGGCGGUCCUCCUGCUGCCACUAUUGUCGGGGAAGCCCAGCUCGCAACCCAACAGCUUCCGGUCCGUGAACCUGCUGCAGUACCUGGACUUAAAGUGGGCCAUUUUGCAACAGGUUGGCCACACCCCGAACAACACAAUCAGCACUUCUGCUCGCUGACGUUCCGUGAGCUCGGCGCCUGUUCACAUUUACCCAACGGCUCUGAGACACCUGUAGUGGACCUCAUGGUGCUGGAGUGGUUCGUUGCCCGACUACUGCUAGGUAUGGCGGAGUGGGUCCAGUGCACCAUCUGGCGUCGCUAGAUGAGGCAAUCCAGCUGGUGGAGGACCAUUUGGUGGUGUUUCC